GACAGAGGUCCCGAGCGUUAGGCGGAAUCACUGGGCUUAAAGCGUGUGUAGGCGGCGGCCUAAGUACCUUGUGAAAUCCCACGGCUCACCCGUGGAACUGCUUGGUAUACUGCUUAUCUUGGGCCACUUAGGGGUUACCGGAACAAACGGUGGAGCGGUGAAAUGCGUAGAUAUCGUUUGGAACGCCAAUGGUGAAAACAGGUAACUGGGAGUGUGCCGACGCUGAGACACGAAAGCCAGGGGAGCGAACGGG
This 253-nucleotide ribosomal RNA is filed under the name uncultured bacterium. RNAcentral's name for it is "partial 16S ribosomal RNA". It matches the Rfam family "Bacterial small subunit ribosomal RNA", at positions 524 to 776 of the family's 1533-position model. The record is from RNAcentral.